This 253-nucleotide ribosomal RNA is filed under the name uncultured bacterium. Its description in RNAcentral is "partial 16S ribosomal RNA". It matches the Rfam family "Bacterial small subunit ribosomal RNA", at positions 524 to 776 of the family's 1533-position model. The record is from RNAcentral.
GACGGAGGAUGCAAGCGUUAUCCGGAAUUAUUGGGCGUAAAGCGCACGUAGGCGGCUUGGUAUGUCGGGUGUGAAAUCCCCGGGCUCAACCUGGGAACUGCAUCCGAAACUGCCUUGCUCGAGUAUGGGAGAGGGAAGUGGAAUUUCCGGUGUAGCGGUGAAAUGCGUAGAUAUCGGAAGGAACAUCAGUGGCGAAGGCGACUUCCUGGACCAAUACUGACGCUCAGGUGCGAAAGCGUGGGGAGCAAACAGG